This 1129-nucleotide long non-coding RNA is filed under the name Scleropages formosus (Asian bonytongue). RNAcentral describes it as "lncRNA (ENSSFOG00015030411.1)". Lineage: Eukaryota; Metazoa; Chordata; Actinopteri; Osteoglossiformes; Osteoglossidae. The record is from RNAcentral.
UCCGUCCAUGCCCCUCCCCCACAAGCCCCCUUUCCCGCCCUUUCGUCCUACAGGUCUGGCUCCUCCCACGAUGCAGACCCCGCCCUGAAGGGGCGUGGCGUGUCUCACACGAGCGCUCCAUGUUUGGAGGAGGCUGUUGCAAUGAAGUGAAAUAGCGGUGUGACGGAGGUGAGCGGCGGGGCAGACAGCGGGACAGAAAGCGCACCAGAAACGAAGAGCGCCGACUAACCGCUCCGCAACGAAAGUGAAAGACCGUAUUAGUUAAACACACACAUCACGUUGUAGUUCGCUUCAUUUCUUCUCUGGUUCUGUGAAAAUUUCUCAAGAGAUUGAUUUUUGAAACACAUUCACCGGAAUAUUACUAGUUGAAAAUAGAAGAGAAUUUCACCACGCCAACUUCCCUCUGUGCUGAUGUUAUACAGCCACAAAGAAUAAAUCAUGGCAGUUGUGGACAGGAUUUACAGCAUUACCUCAUCCCAUGAGCCACCGCGUGAAGAAGAAUCUUCUGGGUGGUCGUCUAGGCAACGCGCCUUAUCUGAAAAUAACGAAUACGCCCAGCAAGUCGCCUCCAGCCAAUAAGAGACUCAGAGCAUGACAUCAUUGCUAUUUUUAGUGUGGGAGCAGAAGCAGAUAAGGUUUGCCUCCACGCUGGAAGAGUUCAGAAUAUACAGAUCAUAGUGGAGGGACGGGUUGCAGCGUGUGGAAGUGUGGAACCUAAACACAAAGUUUAGCGCUCGGUUUUCUUCAGCCAGAGCGUUGAAAGCCGCACAGAGCGACACAUAGAGACGAUUAGGAGUAGUAGGUGAGUUCUAAUUCCGACGUCCGUCCGGGCCGUCUUCACUUUUACUUACUAGCCUUGCUCACCAGAGUAGGAAGCAGAGGGGGAGUAAAGAGGACAGUCUGUCGAGCUGGACUUUUUCCCGAGUUCCUGGCGCAUUAGAGCGGAUACAGAACCGAAGCGUGUCUCCCAGUCCCAGACGGUACUGGUGCUGAGACAGAUUGCGGGAGCGCCCCGACCGACCGGCCGCUCGCUAACUUUCGAGGAGUUUCGCUCCCAAGCAGGCGCCCCUGAAACCGGAGGCGGAAGAGAGGGAACUGUCAGUCCUGUUUGUUGCGAGAAGUUUUAAAC